GAUGGAAACAAGAUUACUGAUGAAGCAAUUCUAGGUUAUAUUCGGAAGUCUCUGGGGCCAGAAUCAUGCUUUGUAUCUUCUAUGAGAUCUGUUGGGGUUAAACCAUCUAUGGACCACACUGCAAUUGAGCUAACAGGAAGUGACAGACCAGGCCUGCUAUCUGAAGUGUUUGCUGUACUCACCCACCUAAAAUGCAAUGUGGUCAAUGCAGAGGUCUGGACACACAAUACUCGGGCGGCAGCA
RNAcentral lists this unclassified non-coding RNA (243 nucleotides) under Hevea brasiliensis (rubber tree). The record is from RNAcentral. Lineage: Eukaryota; Viridiplantae; Streptophyta; Magnoliopsida; Malpighiales; Euphorbiaceae.